This is a non-coding RNA of Pteropus alecto (black flying fox), 116 nucleotides long. Lineage: Eukaryota; Metazoa; Chordata; Mammalia; Chiroptera; Pteropodidae. The record is from Rfam.
GUCUAUGGCCAUGCCACCCUGAACAAGCCAGAUGUCUGAUCUUGGAAGCUAAGCAGGGUUGGGCCUGGUUAGUACUUGGAUGGGAGACCACCUAGGAGGACCAAGUGCUGUAGGCA